CAGUAGCCGCGGUAAUACGAGUGGUGCAAGCGUUAUUCGGAUUGAUUGGGUGUAAAGGGUGUGCAGACGGCUUAUUAAGUCACUUGUUAAAUUCUUCGGCCUAACUGAAGGUCUGCAAGUGAUACUGAUGAGCUAGAGGGUGGAAGAGAGAAGUGGAAUUCUCGGAGUAGCGGUAAAAUGCGUAGAUCUCGAGAGGAACACCAAUGGCGAAGGCAGCUUCUUGGUCCAUUCCUGACGUUCAUACACGAAAGCGUGGGGAGCGAACAGGAUUAGAUACCCGUGUAGUCCCUGUCUCUUAUAC
Molecule: ribosomal RNA, 301 nt
Filed under: uncultured bacterium
Lineage: Bacteria
Description: partial 16S ribosomal RNA
Rfam family: Bacterial small subunit ribosomal RNA
Source: RNAcentral